This 460-nucleotide ribosomal RNA is filed under the name uncultured bacterium. RNAcentral's name for it is "partial 16S ribosomal RNA". It matches the Rfam family "Bacterial small subunit ribosomal RNA", at positions 338 to 795 of the family's 1533-position model. The record is from RNAcentral.
CCUACGGGUGGCAGCAGUGAGGAAUAUUGGUCAAUGGACGCAAGUCUGAACCAGCCAUGCCGCGUGCAGGAAGACGGCUCUAUGAGUUGUAAACUGCUUUUGUACGAGGGUAAACGCAGAUACGUGUAUCUGUCUGAAAGUACUGUACGACUAAGGAUCGGCUAACUCCGUGCCAGCAGCCGCGGUAAUACGGAGGAUCCAAGCGUUAUCCGGAUUUAUUGGGUUUAAAGGGUGCGUAGGCGGUCUGAUAAGUUAGAGGUGAACUGUCGAGGCUCAACUUCGGAAUUGCAUCUGAUACUGGUCGGCUAGAGAAUAGUUGCGGUAGGCGGAAUGUAUGGUGUAGCGGUGAAAUGCUUAGAGAUCAUACAGAACACCGAUUGCGAAGGCAGCUUACCAAGCUACUUCUGACGUUGAGGCACGAAAGCGUGGGGAGCAAACAGGAUUAGAUACCCUAGUAGUC